Molecule: ribosomal RNA, 629 nt
Filed under: Bacillus subtilis
Lineage: Bacteria; Bacillati; Bacillota; Bacilli; Caryophanales; Bacillaceae
Description: bacterial SSU rRNA
Rfam family: Bacterial small subunit ribosomal RNA
Source: RNAcentral
GGGGAGGGUUCAUUGGAAAACUGGGGAACUUUGAGUGCAGAAAGAGGAGAGUUGGAAUUCCACGUGUAGCGGUGAAAUCGCGUAGAGAUGUGGAGGAACACCAGUGGCGAAGGCGACUCUCUGGUCUGUAACUGACGCUGAGGAGCGAAAGCGUGGGGAGCGAACAGGAUUAGAUACCCUGGUAGUCCACGCCGUAAACGAUGAGUGCUAAGUGUUAGGGGGUUUCCGCCCCUUAGUGCUGCAGCUAACGCAUUAAGCACUCCGCCUGGGGAGUACGGUCGCAAGACUGAAACUCAAAGGAAUUGACGGGGGCCCGCACAAGCGGUGGAGCAUGUGGUUUAAUUCGAAGCAACGCGAAGAACCUUACCAGGUCUUGACAUCCUCUGACAAUCCUAGAGAUAGGACGUCCCCUUCGGGGGCAGAGUGACAGGUGGUGCAUGGUUGUCGUCAGCUCGUGUCGUGAGAUGUUGGGUUAAGUCCCGCAACGAGCGCAACCCUUGAUCUUAGUUGCCAGCAUUCAGUUGGGCACUCUAAGGUGACUGCCGGUGACAAACCGGAGGAAGGUGGGGAUGACGUCAAAUCAUCAUGCCCCUUAUGACCUGGGCUACACACGUGCUACAAUGGACAGA